CCUACGGGAGGCAGCAGUGGGGAAUAUUGGACAAUGGGGGGAACCCUGAUUCAGCGACGCCGCGUGAGUGAAGAAGUAUUUCGGUAUGUAACGCUCUAUCAGCAGGGAAGAACAUGACGGUACCUGACUAAGAAGAGCCGGCUAACUACGGGCCAGCAGCCGCGGGAAUACGUAGGGGGCAAGCGUUAUCCGGAUGUACUGGGUGUAUAGGGAGCGUAGACGGUGCAGCAAGUCUGAUGUGAAAGGUCGGGGCCCAACCCCCGGACUGCAUUGGAAACUGUUUAACUUGAGUACAGGAGAGGUAAGCGGAAUUCCUAGUGUAGCGGUGAAAUGCGUAGAUAUUAGGAGGAACACCAGUGGCGAAGGCGGCUUACUGGACUGUAACUGACGUUGAGGCUCGAAAGCGUGGGGAGCAAACAGGAUUAGAUACCCGUGUAGUC
This 440-nucleotide ribosomal RNA is filed under the name uncultured bacterium. RNAcentral describes it as "partial 16S ribosomal RNA". It matches the Rfam family "Bacterial small subunit ribosomal RNA", at positions 338 to 795 of the family's 1533-position model. The record is from RNAcentral.